CCCUUUGCAAACAAAAUUCCAACGCUCUAGUAACUUUACUUGUAAUAUCGAUACAUUUAUUCAUUUAUUGAUUAGACUGGUAUUCAUUUUUCCUUUCUUCCACCCCUCUACAUAUAAAUAAAUCUCAUUUACACAAUUACCUAACAUUUACCUUUCGUUCAAUUUCCAUUCAAUUCCAGUCUGUGAAAGGACGUCAUUGGCUAUUUUUAUUUCUCUCCUCCUACUAUUCUCUGCCCUUCUUUCCAUUAGGUAUUUGUCUUUAUCCAGUCUUCUUACUCUUCAUUUUCUACAAUCUACUUAUCCGUAUAAUCUAAUGAUUAAAGUCUAAUGUUACGGGAUAUAGGAACAUGGCGAAUUCGUUAUUGCUUUUCGACGAACUGGAAUGCGGAUUAUGCUUUGAUAGACUUUUCGAAAAUGAUCCUAGAAGUUUACCUUGUAAUCAUAAAUUCUGCUUUGUUUGCCUUAUUGGAUUGAAAAGUGAUAAAGAUGAUCGUUCGAAUACGUUCACUUGUCCCCGAUGUAAUAAACAACACGUUUGGCCUCUCAACGGUCCGAAUGGCUUUCCAACUUGCUUGAAUUCCGAUACUUCAGAUUCCGCUUCCAAAAGAUCCGUUUCAAAUGCGUCCUCUAGAGCUCAAUCACAAACCACACUGAGAAGGUCUGAAGACAGAGUGAAUCAUUGGCUAACACUCAAUCUACCUUCGAGCAGACGCGAUAAAGAAUCGCUGGAUACCACUUCGACCGUCUACCUAAAUUCCAACAAAGAAUCGUCCACCGUACUCAGUCCGCGUGCAAUCAGCAUACACGGAGUCCUCUGUGGAAAGUUAAUAGAUGGAAUGCUAAAUCAUAAUAUUAACGAAUGCAAGAAAGACGACAGUCGACAAUUACCCAAAAUAUCUUUGACAAACAAACAAGUGAAUUUCCUUAAUCAUUGCAACGUCGCCUACGAAAACGUCAGAAAGGAAAUAAGAAGAAAUAAAGAAAGAUUAACGGACGAUAUAAGUAAAAAAUUACAUAUGUGUAUAACAGAAGUCGAAAGUCUAGUUACAAAAUUGUGGGAUGGCACUAUUAAUAGAAGACAAGCGAGGCAAAAGUUGAGUCUGCUGGAGAGGAAACAUUUCGUGCUAAUUCCUCUCCGAAACGUCGAAAUAGCUAGAUUUAAAAGAAACGAUUCGGAAAAUUCAAUAUUCGACAGUUUUAUUAUGGCAAAGGAAAGGAAUGAAAACAGCUUUGAAGAAAAUGUCAAACUUUAUAAGGCGAUUGUUAAGGGAAACUUUGAAAAGUUUCUUUCUGAAAUUGAACAAAACUUUAAAGAUCUCAUUAAACAAUUGGAAUUGAAUAAGAGGAAAUUGGAUAAUGAAAUCAUUCAAAAGAUAAUGAAUGGAGGUCAGAAUAAUUUUGAAUAUCAAUUCGUACCGAUAUUAGAUUUACAAAUUGGGCGUUUUAAAAGAGUGACAAUACUUGAAAGUCGUAGAAAUUUUAUGCAAAGUUUGAGCGAAACAAUGUCAAGAUGUUGACAACUCGUUCAUCUUUUUCUCUUCUAUCCUUUUAUAUCAACUUUGUAUCAUAAUCUAGUCAGAUAUUUUUUUAUAAUUAAUCUUUAAUAAAUAUAAAUAAAUACUGUUGUUUACUACUGUUUGUAGUAUGCGUUGACAAG
RNAcentral lists this unclassified non-coding RNA (1657 nucleotides) under Dimorphilus gyrociliatus. RNAcentral describes it as "rING-type domain-containing protein". Lineage: Eukaryota; Metazoa; Annelida; Polychaeta; Dinophilidae. The record is from RNAcentral.